UGGAUCCAGACUUUGAUCCUGGCUCAGGAUGAACGCUAGCUACAGGCUUAACACAUGCAAGUCGAGGGGAAACGACAUCGAAAGCUUGCUUUUGAUGGGCGUCGACCGGCGCACGGGUGAGUAACGCGUAUCCAACCUGCCCACCACUUGGGGAUAACCUUGCGAAAGUAAGACUAAUACCCAAUGAUAUCUCUAGAAGGCAUCAGAAAGAGAUUAAAGAUUUAUCGGUGAUGGAUGGGGAUGCGUCUGAUUAGCUUGUUGGCGGGGUAACGGCCCACCAAGGCUACGAUCAGUAGGGGUUCUGAGAGGAAGGUCCCCCACAUUGGAACUGAGACACGGUCCAAACUCCUACGGGAGGCAGCAGUGAGGAAUAUUGGUCAAUGGGCGAGAGCCUGAACCAGCCAAGUAGCGUGCAGGACGACGGCCCUAUGGGUUGUAAACUGCUUUUAUAAGGGAAUAAAGUGAGUCUCGUGAGACUUUUUGCAUGUACCUUAUGAAUAAGGACCGGCUAAUUCCGUGCCAGCAGCCGCGGUAAUACGGAAGGUCCGGGCGUUAUCCGGAUUUAUUGGGUUUAAAGGGAGCGUAGGCCGGAGAUUAAGCGUGUUGUGAAAUGUAGAGGCUCAACCUCUGCACUGCAGCGCGAACUGGUCUUCUUGAGUACGCACAACGUGGGCGGAAUUCGUGGUGUAGCGGUGAAAUGCUUAGAUAUCACGAAGAACUCCGAUUGCGAAGGCAGCUCACGGGAGCGCAACUGACGCUGAAGCUCGAAAGUGCGGGUAUCGAACAGGAUUAGAUACCCUGGUAGUCCGCACGGUAAACGAUGGAUGCCCGCUGUUGGCCUGAAUAGGUCAGCGGCCAAGCGAAAGCAUUAAGCAUCCCACCUGGGGAGUACGCCGGCAACGGUGCAACUCAAAGGAAUUGACGGA
RNAcentral lists this ribosomal RNA (926 nucleotides) under uncultured Bacteroidota bacterium. Its description in RNAcentral is "bacterial SSU rRNA". It matches the Rfam family "Bacterial small subunit ribosomal RNA", at positions 1 to 917 of the family's 1533-position model. The record is from RNAcentral. Lineage: Bacteria; Pseudomonadati; Bacteroidota.